Molecule: ribosomal RNA, 468 nt
Filed under: uncultured bacterium
Lineage: Bacteria
Description: partial 16S ribosomal RNA
Rfam family: Bacterial small subunit ribosomal RNA
Source: RNAcentral
GAUGAACGCUGGCGGCGUGCUUAACACUUGCAAGUCGAACGGAAAGGCCCUGCUUUUGUGGGCUGCUCGAGUGGCGAACGGGUGAGUAACACGUGAGUAACCUGCCCUUGACUUUGGGAUAAGUUCAGGAAACUGGGGCUAAUACCGGAUAGGAGCUGCUGCUGCAUGGUGGGCGUUGGAAAGUCUCGGCGGUUGGGGAUGGACUCGCGGCUUAUCAGCUUGUUGGUGGGGUAGUGGCUUACCAAGGCUUCGACGGGUAGCCGGCCUGAGAGGGUGACCGGCCACAUUGGGACUGAGACACGGCCCAGACUCCUACGGGAGGCAGCAGUGGGGAAUAUUGCACAAUGGGCGGAAGCCUGAUGCAGCAACGCCGCGUGAGGGAUGACGGCCUUCGGGUUGUAAACCGCUUUCGGCUGGGACGAAGCGAUAGUGACGGUAAUGGGUGAAGAAGCACCGGCUAACUACGUG